RNAcentral lists this transfer RNA (100 nucleotides) under Klenkia taihuensis. Its description in RNAcentral is "tRNA-Arg". Lineage: Bacteria; Bacillati; Actinomycetota; Actinomycetes; Geodermatophilales; Geodermatophilaceae. The record is from RNAcentral.
CACCCUCGAGGCGGUCCGGGAGGUGCUGCAGGACGUCUACGACGUGCCCGGCCUGGUCGAGCUCAUGAGCGACGUCCGGUCCCGUCGGGUGCGGGUGGCC